UACAGGGGGGGCAAGCGUUGUUCGGAUUCAUUGGGCGUAAAGGGUGCGUAGGUGGCGCUGUAAGUCAGGUGUGAAAUUUCGGAGCUUAACUCCGAAACUGCAUUUGAUACUGCGGUGCUUGAGGACUGGAGAGGAGACUGGAAUUCACGGUGUAGCAGUGAAAUGCGUAGAGAUCGUGAGGAAGACCAGUGGCGAAGGCGGGUCUCUGGACAGUUCCUGACACUGAGGCACGAAGGCCAGGGGAGCAAACGGG
Molecule: ribosomal RNA, 253 nt
Filed under: uncultured bacterium
Lineage: Bacteria
Description: partial 16S ribosomal RNA
Rfam family: Bacterial small subunit ribosomal RNA
Source: RNAcentral